This 23-nucleotide non-coding RNA is filed under the name Gallus gallus (chicken). The record is from RNAcentral. Lineage: Eukaryota; Metazoa; Chordata; Aves; Galliformes; Phasianidae. RNAcentral also lists the same sequence under 2 other names.
GUACGUAGCAGAGCAGCUCCCUC